CGCGUAGGCGGCUUGUUAAGUCAGAUGUGAAAGCCCAAGGCUCAACCUUGGACGUGCAUUUGAAACUGGCAGGCUUGAGUAUUGGAGGGGGUGGUGGAAUUCCCGGUGUAGAGGUGAAAUUCGUAGAUAUCGGGAGGAAUACCGGUGGCGAAGGCGACCACCUGGCCAAAUACUGACGCUGAGGUGCGAAAGCGUGGGGAAGCAAACA
Molecule: ribosomal RNA, 208 nt
Filed under: uncultured bacterium
Lineage: Bacteria
Description: partial 16S ribosomal RNA
Rfam family: Bacterial small subunit ribosomal RNA
Source: RNAcentral